AUACGGAGGGUGCAAGCGUUAAUCGGAAUUACAGGGCGUAAAGCGUACGUAGGCGGUUCGUUAAGUUAGAUGUGAAAGCCCCGGGCUUAACCUGGGAACUGCAUUUAAAACUGGCGAACUAGAGUUGAGUAGAGGGGAGUGGAAUUUCAGGUGUAGCGGUGAAAUGCGUAGAGAUCCGAAGGAACACCAGUGGCGAAGGCGACUCCCUGGACUCAAACUGACGCUGAGGUACGAAAGCGUGGGUAGCAAACGGGAUUAGAAACCCUAGUAGUCC
This 274-nucleotide ribosomal RNA is filed under the name uncultured bacterium. Its description in RNAcentral is "partial 16S ribosomal RNA". It matches the Rfam family "Bacterial small subunit ribosomal RNA", at positions 523 to 796 of the family's 1533-position model. The record is from RNAcentral.